RNAcentral lists this ribosomal RNA (460 nucleotides) under uncultured bacterium. Its description in RNAcentral is "partial 16S ribosomal RNA". It matches the Rfam family "Bacterial small subunit ribosomal RNA", at positions 338 to 795 of the family's 1533-position model. The record is from RNAcentral.
CCUACGGGAGGCAGCAGUGAGGAAUAUUGGUCAAUGGCCGGAAGGCUGAACCAGCCAUGCCGCGUGAAGGUCAGUGCCCUAUGGGCGUUAAACUUCUUUUGUGCGGGAGCAAUAAUGGUCACGUGUGGCCAGACGAGAGUACCGUACGAAUAAGCAUCGGCUAACUCCGUGCCAGCAGCCGCGGUAAUACGGGGGAUGCAAGCGUUAUCCGGAUUUAUUGGGGUUAAGGGGUGCGUAGGCUGUGAGGGAAGUCAGCGGUGAAAUGCCCCCGCUCAACGGGGUGAAGUGCCAUUGAUACUGCCUUGCUGGAAUGCGGAUGCCGUGGGAGGAAUGUGUGGUGUAGCGGUGAAAUGCAUAGAUAUCACACAGAACACCGAUUGCGAAGGCAUCUCACGAAUCCGCGAUUGACGCUGAUGCACGAAAGCGUGGGUAUCAAACAGGAUUAGAUACCCGGGUAGUC